UAUGUAUAACUAAAAAGACAUAUUCAUUGAUAUCUCUUGAACUCUUAAGGCAGUGCUAAUUUUCUUUUAUGAACUUUUAUUUUAGCUAAUCACUAUCAACUUUUAUAAUUAGCGAAAUCUCCUCUUAUCUUAGAUUUUUAAAUUGUCCAUCCAACUUUUCUUCCAUCCUUGUGAAGUGUUGUUUCACAUGAAAAAGUUGUAAAGGUAAACGAGUCAUUUUGUCUCACUAAUACCUAUACCGGCAACCUUUCUUCCCUUCAAUUAUCACAAUAAACUUUAUAAUUAGGCAAAUCUCCCUCACCGUUAGAUUUUUGAAUUUUCUAUUCAACAUUUUGGCCUUAUCAUGUGUUGUCCAUGUGAAAAACUUAUAAAGAAAAAAAAAAUCAUUUUGUCUCUCACUAACACUUAUCCUCAACCAAUUCUACUUUUUCUCGCUUCAGUCUAACUCUUAGUGAAGGACAAAAUGACCUGUUUACCCUCAUAGGUUUCCCACAUGGACAACACUUGGCUAAGAUGGAAGAAAGAUGGACAAUUCAUAUUAUUAUCAGUGGGUAAUUAGAUAAAAUAGAAACGGAAGAUGAAAUUGGCAGUGCCCUUGCAAGUCUAGAAAAAAAAAGGCAAAUACUUAUAAAAAAAAAAAAAAAAAACUUUAACGAAAAG
This 660-nucleotide long non-coding RNA is filed under the name Malus domestica (apple). Its description in RNAcentral is "long non-coding RNA (MDOM_LNC013452)". The record is from RNAcentral. Lineage: Eukaryota; Viridiplantae; Streptophyta; Magnoliopsida; Rosales; Rosaceae.